Molecule: transfer RNA, 74 nt
Filed under: Nephroselmis olivacea
Lineage: Eukaryota; Viridiplantae; Chlorophyta; Nephroselmidophyceae; Nephroselmidales; Nephroselmidaceae
Description: tRNA-Pro
Rfam family: tRNA
About the family: Transfer RNA (tRNA) molecules are approximately 80 nucleotides in length.
Source: RNAcentral
CGGGAUGUAACUCAGCUUGGUAGAGUGCUGUAUUUGGGCUGCAGAUGCCGCAGGUUCGAAUCCUGUCAUCCCGA